UAUGUCCAAGAGUGUUGGGUGUGCCAUUUGUGUAGGGUUCGAUAAUAACAUACAUCGGGGAAGCAUAAUGGAUUUCAAUUUUUUUUUAUAGUAUGAUGAAAUCCUAAAUUAUUCAAAUCCUAAACCCAGGAACCCCUUGAUGACAUUCAAUCAUAUAAACUACAAACAUGGUGAUGAUAGAUGUCAUACCUCAAGUUGAUGU
This 202-nucleotide long non-coding RNA is filed under the name Elaeis guineensis (African oil palm). Its description in RNAcentral is "long non-coding RNA (EGUI_LNC046643)". The record is from RNAcentral. Lineage: Eukaryota; Viridiplantae; Streptophyta; Magnoliopsida; Arecales; Arecaceae.